RNAcentral lists this non-coding RNA (27 nucleotides) under Mus musculus (house mouse). The record is from RNAcentral. Lineage: Eukaryota; Metazoa; Chordata; Mammalia; Rodentia; Muridae.
CAAGGCUGGCCUAGAACGCUGAUCUUU